CGGGCUAAAUCCCGGCUGACCGGCCCCGAAACGGGCCUUCCCUUCGGGGCAGCCGGGAAGGUGCUGCAUGGCUGUCGUCAGCUCGUGCCGUGAGGUGUUGCCUUAAGUGGCGCAACGAGCGCAACCCCUGUGGUUAGUUACCAGCACGUUAUGGUGGGGACUCUAGCCAGACUGCCUACGCAAGUAGUGAGGAAGGUGGGGAUGACGUGGUGGAAGCAAGCU
RNAcentral lists this unclassified non-coding RNA (222 nucleotides) under uncultured Bacteroidota bacterium. Its description in RNAcentral is "uncultured Bacteroidetes bacterium contains 16S-23S intergenic spacer region". It matches the Rfam family "Bacterial small subunit ribosomal RNA", at positions 976 to 1200 of the family's 1533-position model. Lineage: Bacteria; Pseudomonadati; Bacteroidota. The record is from RNAcentral.